CCAUCUCCUUCGAUUCGUCGCCGCUGCUCAUCUCUUCUUCAAGGGUUUUCACCUUCGAUUCAUCGUCGCUCAUCUCUUCUUCACCGUUGCCAUUCAUCACCGCGCUCACCAAUGUCAAAAAAACUGUGUGCUCUCUAGCGACCUCUUCUCUGCUCUACUGUGAAGCAUCAAGGUUUCCAAUGAGGCAAAGCAUCGAUCCCUUACAAGCGAGUACUCUGCUUCAAUUUCUGUCGUGCUG
Arachis ipaensis is the source of this 238-nucleotide non-coding RNA. The record is from RefSeq and is a predicted model, not a curated record. Lineage: Eukaryota; Viridiplantae; Streptophyta; Magnoliopsida; Fabales; Fabaceae.